GGUAGGACGAUCAAUUAUUUUUGCUUCUAUUCUAUAAUGCGUUAUUAAUUGCUAGGGGAGGCUAGGGAUAGCAAGCCAGUAAUUAGUAAUAGGCUCUUUUUGCCGAGGGAUCGGGUUAAGGGUAGACUAAGAAAGUUGCAUAACAAUUAGAUAAUCAAGCAAAUAAAACAAGAGGAGUAAAUAAGAGAGAGUGGUUGGGUGAAAUCUGAAUCCUAGCAACAAAUCCAUCUCAUUUUAUCGACAUCAUCCAUCCACUUUUG
This 260-nucleotide long non-coding RNA is filed under the name Vigna radiata. RNAcentral describes it as "long non-coding RNA (VRAD_LNC011207)". The record is from RNAcentral. Lineage: Eukaryota; Viridiplantae; Streptophyta; Magnoliopsida; Fabales; Fabaceae.